RNAcentral lists this ribosomal RNA (400 nucleotides) under uncultured bacterium. RNAcentral describes it as "bacterial SSU rRNA". It matches the Rfam family "Bacterial small subunit ribosomal RNA", at positions 356 to 773 of the family's 1533-position model. The record is from RNAcentral.
AGGGAAUCUUCCGCAAUGGGCGAAAGCCUGAUGCAGCAACGCCGCGUGAGUGAUGAAGGUCUUCGGAUUGUAAAGCUCUGUCUUCUGGGACGAUAAUGACGGUACCAGAGGAGGAAGCCACGGCUAACUACGUGCCAGCAGCCGCGGUAAUACGUAGGUGGCAAGCGUUGUCCGGAUUUACUGGGCGUAAAGGAUGUGUAGGCGGAUAUUUAAGUGAGAUGUGAAAUCCCCGGGCUUAACUUGGGGGCUGCAUUUCAAACUGGAUAUCUAGAGUGCAGGAGAGGAAAGUAGAAUUCCUAGUGUAGCGGUGAAAUGCGUAGAGAUUAGGAAGAAUACCAGUGGCGAAGGCGACUUUCUGGACUGUAACUGACACUGAGGCUCGAAAGCGUGGGGAGCAAAC